GCUUGCUCCACCGGAAAAAGAGGAGUGGCGAACGGGUGAGUAACACGUGGGUAACCUGCCCAUCAGAAGGGGAUAACACUUGGAAACAGGUGCUAAUACCGUAUAACAAUCGAAACCGCAUGGUUUUGAUUUGAAAGGCGCUUUCGGGUGUCGCUGAUGGAUGGACCCGCGGUGCAUUAGCUAGUUGGUGAGGUAACGGCUCACCAAGGCCACGAUGCAUAGC
Molecule: ribosomal RNA, 223 nt
Filed under: Enterococcus faecium
Lineage: Bacteria; Bacillati; Bacillota; Bacilli; Lactobacillales; Enterococcaceae
Description: partial 16S ribosomal RNA
Rfam family: Bacterial small subunit ribosomal RNA
Source: RNAcentral